Long non-coding RNA from Brassica napus (rape), 884 nucleotides. RefSeq lists it as uncharacterized. The transcript is spliced from 2 exons. The record is from RefSeq and is a predicted model, not a curated record. Lineage: Eukaryota; Viridiplantae; Streptophyta; Magnoliopsida; Brassicales; Brassicaceae.
ACGAGAGGGCAGCUUGAGCUGGGUUCUUAGCUGUCACUACAGUGAACUAAUUGCCACAUCAAAUAGUAAACAUUUAUUUCUUUAACUAAAUUGCACAGUGUGAGGAAUGGGAAGCUGCAAAAAUACAAAAACAAAGAAGAAAUAAGCGACAAAAAUGUACAAGUGAUUGCAAUGGGAAUGAUGAUGUAUUACUGUUAAAGUCAAAAUCGGAACUGUGUCGAUGUGUAAGAAGCAGCAACACUUUGUUAUGUAUUUUGUCUUCUUCUCAUAUCUCUAGCUGUACAUCUUACAUACUUUCUUGUCUUGUGUUUCAUCUCCUCUACCAUUUCUUGUCGACACAAUCUAAAUUAACUACAAGAAACUAAAAAGACUUGUUUAGUCGACAUGAAUCAUGGUUGAUGGAAGGUUACGAGCACUUCGUGCUAAUUAUAGUGAUGAAAUGCGUCCCAAGUGUGUCGAGAAUGCAAGCCUCUCUAAAGGCAUAGACAUCCUUAUAUGGGCCUUCUUAGGCCCGUUUAAAAUAUUAGAGCCUUGUCCAAUUUUAAGCUAGGGGAAGUAGAAACCCUAGCUAUAUAAAGUCGAGAGACGAGUGAAACAGAGCUGAACAACCGAGCUCGGCGAUUUCACGAUGAGAGCCAAGUGGAAGAAGAAGCGCAUGAGGAGAUUGAAGAGGAAGCGCAGAAAGAUGAGACAGAGAUCUAAGUAGUCUUUGUCUUGCUUUAUCUCCUAAUCUCUGUGGUUGCUUUCUAGUUUCUUGAACCGUGUAUGUUUUGUGUUUUUUUACAUUCAAGAUUUGAACAAUCAUGUGUAGAACAUGUUUUUGCUUACUCCCUUUUAUUAUCUACAAAGCAGAGGCUGAAUAUUAUGCUUCUAUUUUAUAAAAA